RNAcentral lists this long non-coding RNA (384 nucleotides) under Phoenix dactylifera (date palm). RNAcentral describes it as "long non-coding RNA (PDAC_LNC001783)". The record is from RNAcentral. Lineage: Eukaryota; Viridiplantae; Streptophyta; Magnoliopsida; Arecales; Arecaceae.
CCGGUAGGAUGAGAUAGAUUUAUUUAUAUAUUUUAUAUUAUUUUUUUAAUAAGUGAAUCCAACAUGUAAAAUUUUUAAUAAUAAAGUUAAAGAGUGCAGGUUCGAACUCAAGACCUCUGCUCUGAUAACAUAUCAAACAAGUAGAAUAUUUGAGGAAGAAAAGAAAGAUUUUUUUUUUUCGUAUAUUACACCAUAUGUUACAAGGCUAUAUAUAUACAUCAAUUGUGGGAUGAGGAUGAGAUGCAGGAUAAGGAUGAAAGUUGCAGGAUAAGGAUGAAAUGCAAAACUACUUUCUUGGAGAAGUUUCAUCCAAAUUUUUAUAUGCUCGAAACGUACUCUGGUCCCAUUUUGGACUGCACGAGAGUUGAUUAAACUUCUUAGCUU